Molecule: long non-coding RNA, 599 nt
Organism: Micropterus dolomieu (smallmouth bass)
Lineage: Eukaryota; Metazoa; Chordata; Actinopteri; Centrarchiformes; Centrarchidae
Exons: 3
Source: RefSeq, a predicted model, not a curated record
AGCUAGACAGUAACCAACACAAGAGCACUUAUAGUAACAUUACCGAUGUAUGUACCGAGUGUACCGAGUGUGAAAUCUACUAAUUUUGGUAACAUCAACUCCAGAUUUAUAGCUAGCGGCCGGUCGGUGAAACCUCUGGCUGAUUUCCUUAAGUCGACAACUUUGCUAACACCGGGUAUGCCUGUAUCGGCCUGAUUUUGAGUGCAGUGAUAGUGUGAUGGGUGAGCACUGUGUCUGUGUUUGGUGGGUGUGGUCUUCUUUGUGCUUGGGCGUGACCUCCAAUCUGCAGUCUGGCUCAUGUGCGGCUGUGCUGAGGCUGCUUCUGGUAUCCAAAAUUUGCGUGGCACACAGCUGGGUCGGAGUCUGGAGAGUUGCAUGGUGCAGAGCAACAGCCGCUUAAUGGAGUUACCAGAACCCCCAGGCAGUGAGGAGGCCACAACCGACCAGCCUGUGACCAAUAGCAGCAGACUAAUCUGUGGCGUGUUGAUUGGCUUUGCCGCACGCAGGGAAAGGAAGUUGAGCACACCCAGCUGCAAAUAGCCUAAUUCCAUUCUCUUUGACCCUGAGCUUUCCCAAUAGAACUGACUUUUAGCUUUCGU